Molecule: long non-coding RNA, 400 nt
Filed under: Nicotiana benthamiana
Lineage: Eukaryota; Viridiplantae; Streptophyta; Magnoliopsida; Solanales; Solanaceae
Description: long non-coding RNA (NBEN_LNC024374)
Source: RNAcentral
GAAGCGGGUUCAGUUAGAUCCAUUUCUCACCACUUGGUUCUGCCCCUGCCUCUAAAAGUUUUGAACCUCAUCCAGUAAUGUUAGGUUUUGAAGUCUUAGCCCAUCAUCGGAGGCAGUGAUGGAGCCAGAGAUUUUAUUAAGAGAAUUCAACUUUUAUAAAAAUAAUUUUGGGUACACGAAUAAAAUCUCAUACUAUUGGCUGAAAAGAUUAGAGUCAAAAUAUAAGGUGUAAGAAUCUCUUAAUUGGAAGGAAGGUUUUUGGAUAAAACCGUACAAGUUUGGCCCAAAAAGGUAAUAAUAUCACGCCAUAUUUAAGGUAUCUAUGGGUUGCUUCAGCAGCAACUGGUAAUUGGAGGAGUAUGGUGGCAGAGUGAUGGUGUGGGGCUAGAUCUACUUUUCC